RNAcentral lists this unclassified non-coding RNA (263 nucleotides) under plant metagenome. RNAcentral's name for it is "partial contains small subunit ribosomal RNA, internal transcribed spacer 1, and 5.8S ribosomal RNA". The record is from RNAcentral.
UUUCCGUAGGUGAACCUGCGGAAGGAUCAUUAUUGUAUAACCGAGGUGCGAGGGCUGUCGCUGACCCGAAAGGUCGUGCACGCUCGAGUGCCCUCACACACAUCCAUCUCACCCCUAUGUGCACCACCGCCUGGGUCCCCCUUUGGCUUGUUCGGACGGGGGCUUACGUUUUCACACAAACUUUGUAUGCAGUGUAGAAUGUAUUUUUUGUUUUUGCGAUCACGCAAUCAAUACAACUUUCAACAACGGAUCUCUUGGCUCUC